This is a non-coding RNA of Choloepus hoffmanni (Hoffmann's two-fingered sloth), 85 nucleotides long. Lineage: Eukaryota; Metazoa; Chordata; Mammalia; Pilosa; Megalonychidae. The record is from Rfam.
AUUAUGUUCCUGGUGCAUUACGUAUGUAUUCAAUCAAAGAAGUUAGGUUGUUCUCCAGAAUUGGCUCUCUCCUAAAGGUCAAAAC